This 465-nucleotide ribosomal RNA is filed under the name uncultured Klebsiella sp. RNAcentral's name for it is "bacterial SSU rRNA". It matches the Rfam family "Bacterial small subunit ribosomal RNA", at positions 338 to 795 of the family's 1533-position model. Lineage: Bacteria; Pseudomonadati; Pseudomonadota; Gammaproteobacteria; Enterobacterales; Enterobacteriaceae. The record is from RNAcentral.
CCUACGGGGUGCAGCAGUGGGGAAUAUUGCACAAUGGGCGCAAGCCUGAUGCAGCCAUGCCGCGUGUGUGAAGAAGGCCUUCGGGUUGUAAAGCACUUUCAGCGGGGAGGAAGGCGUUAAGGUUAAUAACCUUGGCGAUUGACGUUACCCGCAGAAGAAGCACCGGCUAACUCCGUGCCAGCAGCCGCGGUAAUACGGAGGGUGCAAGCGUUAAUCGGAAUUACUGGGCGUAAAGCGCACGCAGGCGGUCUGUCAAGUCGGAUGUGAAAUCCCCGGGCUCAACCUGGGAACUGCAUUCGAAACUGGCAGGCUAGAGUCUUGUAGAGGGGGGUAGAAUCCCAGGUGUAGCGGUGAAAUGCGUAGAGAUCUGGAGGAAUACCGGUGGCGAAGGCGGCCCCCUGGACAAAGACUGACGCUCAGGUGCGAAAGCGUGGGGAGCAAACAGGAUUAGAUACCCUAGUAGUC